ACACAAGUUCUAUAAAAACUCUGACACGACUUCGAUCGGAUCAUUUCAGCGAUGACAAAGUUCUCCUGUUUUUUGGUUCUGUUGUGCGGUUUUGCCGUCUCAUUCUUGCUGUUGGCUUGUAAUCCAGAAGUGGAAGCUCUAGCGCCCAUGCCCCCAGGCUCCAUAAACAUGGCCAGAAGAUCAAGACCAGAGUUUCUUCAUUCCCGAAGAAGCAUCUGUGAGGCAGCUCGUGCUCUGAAUUGCCAGAGAGACGACUCAUAGUAAGAGCAGCUGAAAACACGAAGGGACUUAUGCACUGAAAGAAAAAAAAAAAUCGAGCGCCUUGAUCUAAAUUGUCAAUAAAGUGAAUGAAAGCUUAAUGAGAA
Stylophora pistillata is the source of this 365-nucleotide long non-coding RNA. RefSeq lists it as uncharacterized. Lineage: Eukaryota; Metazoa; Cnidaria; Anthozoa; Scleractinia; Pocilloporidae. The record is from RefSeq and is a predicted model, not a curated record.